Molecule: ribosomal RNA, 497 nt
Filed under: uncultured bacterium
Lineage: Bacteria
Description: partial 16S ribosomal RNA
Rfam family: Bacterial small subunit ribosomal RNA
Source: RNAcentral
GAUGAACGCUGGCGGCGUGCCUAAUACAUGCAAGUAGAACGCUGAAGGAAGGAGCUUGCUCUUUCCGGGUGAGUUGCGAACGGGUGAGUAACGCGUAGGUAACCUGCCUGGUAGCGGGGGAUAACUAUUGGAAACGAUAGCUAAUACCGCAUAACAGUAGAUGUUGCAUGAUAUCUACUUAAAAGGUGCAAUUGCACCACUACCAGACGGACCUGCGUUGUAUUAGUUAGUUGGUGAGGUAACGGCUCACCAAGGCGACGCUACAUAGCCCACCUGAGAGGAUGGGCGGCCACCCUGGGACGGUGACCCGGCCCAGAGUGCCAGGGGAGGCGGCAGUAGGGAAACUUGGGCAAGGGGCGGAAAUCUGAGCGAGCAACGCCGCGGGAGGGGAGAAGGAUGUCGGGUCGGGAAGCUCGGUUGUAGGGGAAGAAAGAGUGUGAGAGUGGAAAGUUCACAGUGUGACGGUAUCUGAUCAGAAAGGGACGGCUAACUACGUG